RNAcentral lists this non-coding RNA (28 nucleotides) under Mus musculus (house mouse). Lineage: Eukaryota; Metazoa; Chordata; Mammalia; Rodentia; Muridae. The record is from RNAcentral.
UGCUCCUCCACACAUGCCGCACCCACAC